This 1448-nucleotide ribosomal RNA is filed under the name Escherichia coli. RNAcentral describes it as "partial 23S ribosomal RNA". It matches the Rfam family "Bacterial large subunit ribosomal RNA", at positions 1 to 1485 of the family's 2925-position model. Lineage: Bacteria; Pseudomonadati; Pseudomonadota; Gammaproteobacteria; Enterobacterales; Enterobacteriaceae. The record is from RNAcentral.
GGGUUGUGAGGUUAAGCGACUAAGCGUACACGGUGGAUGCCCUGGCAGUCAGAGGCGAUGAAGGACGUGCUAAUCUGCGAUAAGCGUCGGUAAGGUGAUAUGAACCGUUAUAACCGGCGAUUUCCGAAUGGGGAAACCCAGUGUGAUUCGUCACACUAUCAUUAACUGAAUCCAUAGGUUAAUGAGGCGAACCGGGGGAACUGAAACAUCUAAGUACCCCGAGGAAAAGAAAUCAACCGAGAUUCCCCCAGUAGCGGCGAGCGAACGGGGAGCAGCCCAGAGUCUGAAUCAGUGUGUGUGUUAGUGGAAGCGUCUGGAAAGGCGUGCGAUACAGGGUGACAGCCCCGUACACAAAAAUGCACAUAUUGUGAGCUCGAUGAGUAGGGCGGGACACGUGGUAUCCUGUCUGAAUAUGGGGGGACCAUCCUCCAAGGCUAAAUACUCCUGACUGACCGAUAGUGAACCAGUACCGUGAGGGAAAGGCGAAAAGAACCCCGGCGAGGGGAGUGAAAAAGAACCUGAAACCGUGUACGUACAAGCAGUGGGAGCACGCUUAGGCGUGUGACUGCGUACCUUUUGUAUAAUGGGUCAGCGACUUAUAUUCUGUAGCAAGGUUAACCGAAUAGGGGAGCCGAAGGGAAACCGAGUCUUAACUGGGCGUUAAGUUGCAGGGUAUAGACCCGAAACCCGGUGAUCUAGCCAUGGGCAGGUUGAAGGUUGGGUAACACUAACUGGAGGACCGAACCGACUAAUGUUGAAAAAUUAGCGGAUGACUUGUGGCUGGGGGUGAAAGGCCAAUCAAACCGGGAGAUAGCUGGUUCUCCCCGAAAGCUAUUUAGGUAGCGCCUCGUGAAUUCAUCUCCGGGGGUAGAGCACUGUUUCGGCAAGGGGGUCAUCCCGACUUACCAACCCGAUGCAAACUGCGAAUACCGGAGAAUGUUAUCACGGGAGACACACGGCGGGUGCUAACGUCCGUCGUGAAGAGGGAAACAACCCAGACCGCCAGCUAAGGUCCCAAAGUCAUGGUUAAGUGGGAAACGAUGUGGGAAGGCCCAGACAGCCAGGAUGUUGGCUUAGAAGCAGCCAUCAUUUAAAGAAAGCGUAAUAGCUCACUGGUCGAGUCGGCCUGCGCGGAAGAUGUAACGGGGCUAAACCAUGCACCGAAGCUGCGGCAGCGACACUAUGUGUUGUUGGGUAGGGGAGCGUUCUGUAAGCCUGUGAAGGUGUACUGUGAGGUAUGCUGGAGGUAUCAGAAGUGCGAAUGCUGACAUAAGUAACGAUAAAGCGGGUGAAAAGCCCGCUCGCCGGAAGACCAAGGGUUCCUGUCCAACGUUAAUCGGGGCAGGGUGAGUCGACCCCUAAGGCGAGGCCGAAAGGCGUAGUCGAUGGGAAACAGGUUAAUAUUCCUGUACUUGGUGUUACUGCGAAGGGGGGACGGAGAAGGCUAU